RNAcentral lists this ribosomal RNA (253 nucleotides) under uncultured bacterium. RNAcentral's name for it is "partial 16S ribosomal RNA". It matches the Rfam family "Bacterial small subunit ribosomal RNA", at positions 524 to 776 of the family's 1533-position model. The record is from RNAcentral.
UACGUAGGGAGCUAGCGUUGUCCGGAAUCAUUGGGCGUAAAGCGCGCGUAGGCGGCCCGGUAAGUCCGCUGUGAAAGUCAAAGGCUCAACCUUUGAAUGUCAGCGGAUACUGCCGGGCUAGAGUCCGGAAGAGGCGAGUGGAACUCCUGGUGUAGCGGUGGAAUGCGCAGAUAUCAGGAGGAACACCGAUGGCGAAGGCAGAUCUCUGGGCCGUAACUGACGCUGAGGAGCGAAAGCAUGGGGAGCGAACAGG